UGCCUCAGUAACGGCGAGUGAAGCGGCAACAGCUCAAAUUUGAAAUCUGGCUCCUUCGGGGCCCGAGUUGUAAUUUGUAGAGGGUGCUUUGGCGUUGGCUCCGGCCUAAGUUCCUUGGAACAGGACGUCACAGAGGGUGAGAAUCCCGUACGUGGCCGGCCGCCUUCGCCGUGUAAAGCCCCUUCGACGAGUCGAGUUGUUUGGGAAUGCAGCUCUAAAUGGGAGGUAAAUUUCUUCUAAAGCUAAAUAUUGGCCAGAGACCGAUAGCGCACAAGUAGAGUGAUCGAAAGAUGAAAAGCACUUUGGAAAGAGAGUCAAAAAGCACGUGAAAUUGUUGAAAGGGAAGCGCUUGCAGCCAGACUUGCUCGUAGUUGCUCAUCCGGGCUCCUGCCCGGUGCACUCUUCUGCUAGCAGGCCAGCAUCAGUUUGGGCGGCCGGAUAAAGGCCCCGGGAAUGUGGCUCCCUCGGGAGUGUUAUAGCCCGGGGUGCCAUGCGGCCAGCCCGGACUGAGGUCCGCGCAUCUGCCAGGAUGCUGGCGUAAUGGCUGUAAGCGGCCCGUCUUGAAACACGGACCAAGGAGUCUAACAUCUAUGCGAGUGUUUGGGUGUCAAGCCCGGGCGCGUAAUGAAAGUGAACGGAGGUGGGAACCCUCUGGGUGCACCAUCGACCGAUCCUGAUGUCUUCGGAUGGAUUUGAGUAAGAGCAUAGCUGUUGGGACCCGAAAGAUGGUGAACUAUGCCUGAAUAGGGUGAAGCCAGAGGAAACUCUGGUGGAGGCUCGCAGCGGUUCUGACGUGCAAAUCGAUCGUCAAAUUUGGGCAUAGGGGCGAAAGACUAAU
This is a ribosomal RNA of 838 nucleotides. It matches the Rfam family "Eukaryotic large subunit ribosomal RNA", at positions 76 to 935 of the family's 3401-position model.